GCCUGGGAUAGCUCAGUAGGCAGAGCACGAAAUUCUUCAUCUCAGGGUUGUGGGUUCGAGUACCAUGUUGUGCA
This is a non-coding RNA of Podarcis lilfordi (Lilford's wall lizard), 74 nucleotides long. The record is from the annotation of a GenBank genome assembly. Lineage: Eukaryota; Metazoa; Chordata; Lepidosauria; Squamata; Lacertidae.